UUCGACCUCAAAUCAGGUAGGACUACCCGCUGAACUUAAGCAUAUCAAUAAGGCGGGGAGGAAAAG
RNAcentral lists this ribosomal RNA (66 nucleotides) under Lodderomyces parapsilosis. RNAcentral describes it as "Candida parapsilosis partial 28S ribosomal RNA". Lineage: Eukaryota; Fungi; Ascomycota; Pichiomycetes; Serinales; Debaryomycetaceae. The record is from RNAcentral.